Podarcis lilfordi (Lilford's wall lizard) is the source of this 74-nucleotide non-coding RNA. Lineage: Eukaryota; Metazoa; Chordata; Lepidosauria; Squamata; Lacertidae. The record is from the annotation of a GenBank genome assembly.
CCCAUUUUAAGCUGAGACGGUAGAGCAAGAGACUCUUAAUCUCAGGGUUGUGAGUUCAAAUCUCUCAUUUGGGG